Neofelis nebulosa (Clouded leopard) is the source of this 814-nucleotide long non-coding RNA. RefSeq lists it as uncharacterized. The record is from RefSeq and is a predicted model, not a curated record. The transcript has 3 exons. Lineage: Eukaryota; Metazoa; Chordata; Mammalia; Carnivora; Felidae.
AAAAGUUAAUGAUUACGCGCAGACUUGCAGACAUCCGAGAGUCUAGACCGAAGACGCUGGGAGAAAUCUUUGCACGUUCACUCUCCGGCCUUCCGCGCGAGUAGAACCUUAACGUCACUUCCACGCCAGCCUCAAGCCUUGCGCCGAUCUGCCCCUUUGGGUCACCCGCACCGUCCUGCAUUAGAAGGUCACUCUGAUAACUUCCUUAUUCACCCAGGAUGUGUUUAUUGAGCACCUGCUGUGCGCCAGGCAUGCUGUCCUGGAGCUGCCCUCUGGCGGGAAGGUUAGGGGCCCGGGCGGCAAGCAGGCAAGUGUGCAAAAGAGCCUCUCAGGGCUGUGACAGGGACAGAGGGGCUCGGGAAGGCGCCUCCGAGGAGAGGACAUCUGAGCUGAGACCUGGAAGACAUGGGAGCAGCCAGGAGAACCGGACAGAAAGUACUCAUGCUGGAAGGAGAAGCCAGGGCCAGAGGCCAGUUGCUGGACCGUUUGUAUCGUUUGGAUUGCCUGCUACCUCCUUUGCCCACUCGUUCUCCUGGAGUCUGAGGGUCACAUACGUAAAGCAUAUUAGAGUAUCAACACUCCCCGUGCUUCCAUAAAAAUCACCAAAUAUUAGUUGGGCACCGCUUUAGACAAGCUGCUGUGUUGGAUGGAGGUCUGCCUGAAGAGACUCUUUGUCCACAACUAUGGAUAAGAUGGCCAUCCAGGGCCUGGACUCCUAGCGUAUGGUCUUCUUUAAGGUCUGCCAUUUUCUCGGACGAGUUCACCGUUUAUCACCCUGGGACGGAGGUUUCCUUGGUUGGUUCUUUCAUCCAUU